Molecule: small nuclear RNA, 20 nt
Filed under: Arabidopsis thaliana (thale cress)
Lineage: Eukaryota; Viridiplantae; Streptophyta; Magnoliopsida; Brassicales; Brassicaceae
Description: snRNA_07200
Source: RNAcentral
UAAUUAAAUUAAAGUUUCAC